UAAAGUUCGUGACUAUCUCAUUCCUUUCGAUUGGUAAGGGACAACCAUUAUGAGUUUGUGAUUCCAUCCUCUUGAGAGGGAUACGAUAUGAUUGAUCACUUAAUGGGAUAUUCUCCUUCUGAAAUUUGAAUGCAAGUCUAAACUAACUGAAGACUACCCUGUCCCUUAUUUAACAUGAGGGUUUGUAUAUAUAAAGAAAGAAACUCCUACUUCAAGGCCCAAAGGGGUUGACUAGGGAUUAACUUCCUUAUAUCUCUG
Molecule: long non-coding RNA, 258 nt
Filed under: Lathyrus oleraceus (garden pea)
Lineage: Eukaryota; Viridiplantae; Streptophyta; Magnoliopsida; Fabales; Fabaceae
Description: Pisum sativum (pea) long non-coding RNA (PSAT_LNC002438)
Source: RNAcentral